This 72-nucleotide transfer RNA is filed under the name Mesocricetus auratus (golden hamster). It matches the Rfam family "tRNA". From Rfam's summary of the family: Transfer RNA (tRNA) molecules are approximately 80 nucleotides in length. Their secondary structure includes four short double-helical elements and three loops (D, anti-codon, and T loops). Further hydrogen bonds mediate the characteristic L-shaped molecular structure. tRNAs have two regions of fundamental functional importance: the anti-codon, which is responsible for specific mRNA codon recognition, and the 3' end, to which the tRNAs corresponding amino acid is attached (by aminoacyl-tRNA synthetases). tRNAs cope with the degeneracy of the genetic code in two manners: having more than one tRNA (with a specific anti-codon) for a particular amino acid; and 'wobble' base-pairing, i.e. permitting non-standard base-pairing at the 3rd anti-codon position. The record is from Rfam by way of RNAcentral. Lineage: Eukaryota; Metazoa; Chordata; Mammalia; Rodentia; Cricetidae.
GAGGGUAUAGAUCAGUGGUAGAGCAUUUGACUGUAGAUCAAGAAGUCCCUGGUUCAAAUCCAGGUGCCCCCU